CCUACGGGCGGCUGCAGUGGGGAAUCUUCGGCAAUGGGCGAAAGCCUGACCGAGCGAUGCCGCGUGCGGGAUGAAGGCCCUCGGGUUGUAAACCGCUGUCGUAGGGGAGAAAGGACCGUUGAAGAGACGGUUUUGAUCUAUCCUAGGAGGAAGUCCGGGCUAAGUUCGUGCCAGCAGCCGCGGUAACACGAACCGGACAAACGUUAUUCGGAAUUAUUGGGCUUAAAGGGUGCGUAGGCGGUGCGGUAAGUGAGGUGUGAAAGCCCUCGGCUCAACCGAGGAAUUGCGCUUCAUACUGCCGUGCUGGAGGGAGACAGGGGUAAGCGGAACUGAUGGUGGAGCGGUGAAAUGCGUUGAUAUCAUCAGGAACACCGGUGGCGAAAGCGGCUUACUGGGUCUUCUCUGACGCUGAGGCGCGAAAGCUAGGGUAGCGAACGGGAUUAGAUACCCGUGUAGUC
Molecule: ribosomal RNA, 458 nt
Filed under: uncultured bacterium
Lineage: Bacteria
Description: bacterial SSU rRNA
Rfam family: Bacterial small subunit ribosomal RNA
Source: RNAcentral